Molecule: long non-coding RNA, 148 nt
Organism: Etheostoma cragini (Arkansas darter)
Lineage: Eukaryota; Metazoa; Chordata; Actinopteri; Perciformes; Percidae
Exons: 2
Source: RefSeq, a predicted model, not a curated record
AUGGUAUCUUCCAGAACCUUUAAAAUGGGGCUGGAUACACUGGGGACUCUUUUAGCCUGAACACUCUGGAGAGGUGACACAACGGAGGGCUGGCCUCCAAUCAACACCAGCUGCAACCUUCACAAAACAGAUUGUUAAUAUUUUUCAA